Molecule: long non-coding RNA, 2467 nt
Organism: Ictalurus punctatus (channel catfish)
Lineage: Eukaryota; Metazoa; Chordata; Actinopteri; Siluriformes; Ictaluridae
Source: Ensembl
CACACACGGAGAUAGAGAGAGGGGGGGUGCUAGGCUAACGGUGUAGCUCAUGUAGCUGUAAACAGUUACACUCCGCCUUACCAGCCGAGUUUAAUGAAACACCUUCCCCAGGAUGGAGGCGAGAAGAUUAAAUAAACACACCGCAAAGUCAUGAGGAUGUUUACAAACGUGAACAUUUCCAAAAAAAACAAAACAAACAAGUUUUGCGACAGGACUAAGCACUUUAGUUAGCUAGCUCACGCGCUAGUUUAGAGUGUUGGAGCUAGUGACGACGUAUCGUCUAAGCUAAGCUAUCUUACUGCAUGGAAAGUAGCUCCGGGUUCACCUUUAGCACCUAGCAUGGAUUAAUUACCUCGUUAUCCACGAGUACAAUAUUAAAGAAGGAGUUUAACAGUCAGGGUUGUUGUUUUUUCCCCUGUUUCUGGGUCGGAAACUUGACUGAGGUGAGUAACUUAAUGCUGCGCUCGUGUGUCGUGCUAAGCUAGUUAUUUCCAUCUGAUCUUUUCACUGUGUUUUGUUUUGUUUUGUUACACGGUGUUUAUGACGUGCUAGCUAGCUAACAUGGUUAACUGUUAAAGGUUUAUUCACUGCUAGCUGUGCUGGAUAACUUCCCCGGUUAGCUAGCGGAGUGUUAGUUUAGCGAGUACAGCAGUAUAAACAGUAACACCUCGCUGAUUUCGGAUUAGCCGCAGAUUUAUGGUUAACUUUCAGACCUCGAGAUGGUUAGAAAGGGGUACUAACCCAGGACUUGUACUAACCCAGGACGGGUACUAACCCAGGACGGGUACUAACCCAGGACUUGUACUAACCCAGGACUUGUACUAGCGCAGGACGGGUACUAACCCAGGACUUGUACUAACCCAGGACUUGUACUAACCCAGGACUUGUACUAGCGCAGGACGGGUACUAACCCAGGACUUGUACUAGCGCAGGACGGGUACUAACCCAGGACUUGUACUAGCGCAGGACGGGUACUAACCCAGGACUUGUACUAACCCAGGACUUGUACUAACCCAGGACUUGUACUAACGCAGGACGGGUACUAACGCAGGACGGGUACUAACCCAGGACUUGUACUAACCCAGGACUUGUACUAACGCAGGACUUGUACUAGCGCAGGACUUGUACUAGUGCAGGACAGGUACUAACCCAGGACUUGUACUAACCCAGGACUUGUACUAGCGCAGGACUUGUACUAACCCAGGACUUGUACUAACCCAGGACUUGUACUAACGCAGGACUUGUACUAACCCAGGACUUGUACUAACCCAGGACUUGUACUAACCCAGGACUUGUACUAACGCAGGACUUGUACUAGCGCAGGACUUGUAUUAGUGCAGAACACUGUGAUUUGUGGUGUGUUGUGUAUGUAGGUGGCAAAGUGUCAUUUAAAAAUAAUGUUUUUUUUUUUUUGAUUAAUGGUGUAUUUUAUUGUAGUAAUAAUCCUGAAACCACUCACACAUACAUGGAGCAUUAAUCCAGAUUAAUUUAGUCCUAAAUUCAGUGUGACAGUGUUGUGUGUGUGUGUUGUUAGUAAAUAAAACGUUUAGAGAUGAAUGUGUUUGGGGAGAUAUGUUAAGUGUGGUGGUAGGUGUGAUGGUGUGAUGGUAAGUCUGAUGGUGUGGUGGUAUGUAUGAGGGUAGGUAUGGUGGUGUGAUGGUAGGUGUGAGGGUAGGUGUAGUGGUGUGAAGGUAGGUGUAGUAGUGUGAUGGUAAGUGUGAAGUAGGUGAAGUAGUGUGGUGGUAGGUGUGAGGGUAGGUAUGAUGGUGUGGUGGUAGGUGUGAGGGUAGGUGUAGUGGUGUGAGGGUAGGUAUGAUGGUGUGGUGGUAGGUGUGAGGGUAGGUGUAGUGGUGUGUAUUGUAAGCGUGAUGGUAAUGUUGAAGAUAGGUGUGGUAGGUGUGGGGUAGGUAUGAUGGUGUGGUAGUAGGUGUGAAGGUGAGGGUAAGUGUGAGGUUAGGUGUGAUGGUAGGUGAAGGUGAGGGUAAGUGUGAGGUUAGGUGUGAUGGUAGGUGAGGGUAAGUGUGAGGUUAGGUGUGAUGGUAGGUGUAGGGGUGUGAGGUGAGGGUAAAAGUAAGGAAUAAUCCCCGUGUGUGGUGCUGUUACAGGAAACUAAUCACCCCACAGUGGAGGGAGUCUCAGCAUGUCCUGAUGUGUUUAUUCCUCUUACACCACUGCAGUCCAUCAUUACAGUUCUUUAUUAAUUAAAGACCGACACCUCAUACUUUUAUCCGUUUAUAGUUACAUCCUCACUUGUUAUAGCAGCGAUAAACACUUUCUCUUUUCCUCUCUCUCUCUUCUUUUUCCUCUCUUCUCUCUUUCCUGUUUUUUCCUCUCUUCUCUCUUUUCCUGUUUUUUCCUCUCUCCUCCUUUUCCGCUCUCUUUUUCCUCACUUAUCUCUUUUCCUCUCUCUUUUUCCUCUCUCUUCUUUCUUUUCCUCUCUUUCUUUUAUCCUCUCACUUCUCUUUUU